RNAcentral lists this ribosomal RNA (254 nucleotides) under uncultured bacterium. RNAcentral describes it as "partial 16S ribosomal RNA". It matches the Rfam family "Bacterial small subunit ribosomal RNA", at positions 524 to 776 of the family's 1533-position model. The record is from RNAcentral.
UACGAAGGGGGCUAGCGUUGUUCGGAAUUACUGGGCGUAAAGCGCGUGUAGGCGGCUAAGUAAGUCGGGGCGUGAAAUCCCACGGCUCAACCGUGGAAGUGCACUCGAAACUGCAUAGCUAGAGUCCUGGAGAGGAAGGUAGAAUGCUUGGUGUAGAGGUGAAAUUCGUAGAUAUUCGGAGGAACACCAGUGGCGAAGGCGGCUCACUGGUCCAUUACUGACGCUGAGGUGCGAAAGCGUGGGGAGCAAACAGG